RNAcentral lists this ribosomal RNA (555 nucleotides) under Triticum aestivum (bread wheat). RNAcentral's name for it is "partial small subunit ribosomal RNA". Lineage: Eukaryota; Viridiplantae; Streptophyta; Magnoliopsida; Poales; Poaceae. The record is from RNAcentral.
AUGCAGGGAAAACCGGAAACGGAGAACAGUAGGUCCUGCAGAUGUCAGUGUCCGGGCUUGAUUAGGUUGUUGCGUGCAGCAGAAAACAGUUGAUACAUCACAAAGCACCGUGAAAGCCACAACCACUCUAUGUCGUUGAUGAUUGGUGAAAAAGUGCACCGGCCGUCUCACAAGCACAUUGAUGUGUACAUUAAAGAUUUGAUAAAGCGGCUAAGGGAGAAUAAUGUGAAUUUUGGAAAGGUGUACAACAUCAUUGGCAGUUUUUUUGGGUCGAUCGAGAAGGUGCCAUUCACGAAGAGGACUCUAAGGAACAUUUGUGGUAAGAUCAGCCGUGAGCAGGCAGAAGACGAUGUUAGGAAGACAUUGGAGGUGUUUGUAGACAUUGUCAAUGAUGACCCUGGUUUGACAUAUAAAGUUUUGGCAGAGAGAACAAGUAAGGUCAAAAACCUCAUGUGGACUAACGGAAGCAAUCGAAUGCAGUACAGGUUUUUUAGUGAUGUAGUUACAUUCAACACAACCUACAUGAAAAACCUUUGGUCUUUUUGUUGGGGUUAA